GCGCGGCUAGCUCAUCGGGUAGAGCACCGGACUUUUAAUCCGGCGGGCUGGGUUCGAGUCCCAGGCCGCGUA
RNAcentral lists this transfer RNA (72 nucleotides) under Acidobacteriota bacterium. RNAcentral's name for it is "tRNA-Lys". It matches the Rfam family "tRNA". Rfam says of the family: Transfer RNA (tRNA) molecules are approximately 80 nucleotides in length. Their secondary structure includes four short double-helical elements and three loops (D, anti-codon, and T loops). Further hydrogen bonds mediate the characteristic L-shaped molecular structure. tRNAs have two regions of fundamental functional importance: the anti-codon, which is responsible for specific mRNA codon recognition, and the 3' end, to which the tRNAs corresponding amino acid is attached (by aminoacyl-tRNA synthetases). tRNAs cope with the degeneracy of the genetic code in two manners: having more than one tRNA (with a specific anti-codon) for a particular amino acid; and 'wobble' base-pairing, i.e. permitting non-standard base-pairing at the 3rd anti-codon position. Lineage: Bacteria; Pseudomonadati; Acidobacteriota. The record is from RNAcentral. RNAcentral also lists the same sequence under 2 other names.